Molecule: ribosomal RNA, 106 nt
Filed under: Selaginella uncinata (blue spikemoss)
Lineage: Eukaryota; Viridiplantae; Streptophyta; Lycopodiopsida; Selaginellales; Selaginellaceae
Description: partial 5.8S ribosomal RNA
Rfam family: 5.8S ribosomal RNA
About the family: 5.8S ribosomal RNA (5.8S rRNA) is a component of the large subunit of the eukaryotic ribosome. It is transcribed by RNA polymerase I as part of the 45S precursor that also contains 18S and 28S rRNA.
Source: RNAcentral
GAAAUGCGAUACAUGAUGUGAAUUGCAGAAUUCCGUGAAUCAUCGAAUCUUUGAACGCACAUUGCGCCCGAGGCUUGUCCGAGGGCAUGUCUGCCUGAGCGUCUGU